This 253-nucleotide ribosomal RNA is filed under the name uncultured bacterium. Its description in RNAcentral is "partial 16S ribosomal RNA". It matches the Rfam family "Bacterial small subunit ribosomal RNA", at positions 524 to 776 of the family's 1533-position model. The record is from RNAcentral.
UACGUAGGGACCAAGCGUUGUUCGGAUUUACUGGGCGUAAAGGGCGCGUAGGCGGCAAUUCAAGUCAGCUGUGAAAUCUCCGGGCUUAACUCGGAACGGUCAGCUGAUACUGCUUUGCUAGAGUGCAGAAGGGGCAAUCGGAAUUCCGCGUGUAGCAGUGAAAUGCGUAGAUAUGCGGAGGAACACCGAUGGCGAAGGCAAUCCCCUGGGCCUGCACUGACGCUCAUGCACGAAAGCGUGGGGAGCAAACAGG